UACGUAGGGGGCAAGCGUUGUCCGGAAUCAUUGGGCGUAAAGAGUGUGUAGGCGGUGCUCUAAGUUCGGUGUGAAAUCUCCCGGCUCAACUGGGAGGGUGCGCCGAAAACUGGGGUGCUGGAGCGCGGGAGAGGAAAGCGGAAUUCCUGGUGUAGCGGUGAAAUGCGUAGAUAUCAGGAGGAACACCGGCGGUGUAGACGGCUUUCUGGACCGUAGCUGACGCUGAGACACGAAAGCGUGGGUAGCAAACAGG
Molecule: ribosomal RNA, 253 nt
Filed under: uncultured bacterium
Lineage: Bacteria
Description: partial 16S ribosomal RNA
Rfam family: Bacterial small subunit ribosomal RNA
Source: RNAcentral